RNAcentral lists this unclassified non-coding RNA (236 nucleotides) under plant metagenome. RNAcentral's name for it is "partial contains small subunit ribosomal RNA, internal transcribed spacer 1, and 5.8S ribosomal RNA". The record is from RNAcentral.
UUUCCGUAGGUGAACCUGCGGAAGGAUCAUUACUGAGUGAGGGCCCCUCGGGGUCCAACCUCCCACCCGUGUUUAACGAACCUUGUUGCUUCGGCGGGCCCGCCUCACGGCCGCCGGGGGGCAUUUGCCCCCGGGCCCGCGCCCGCCGAAGCCACCUGUGAACGCUGUCUGAAGUAUGCAGUCUGAGACAAUUAUUAAAUUAAUUAAAACUUUCAACAACGGAUCUCUUGGUUCCG